Molecule: ribosomal RNA, 221 nt
Filed under: uncultured bacterium
Lineage: Bacteria
Description: partial 16S ribosomal RNA
Rfam family: Bacterial small subunit ribosomal RNA
Source: RNAcentral
UGAGCAAUCUGCCCUUCACAUCGGAAUAACCAUUGGAAACGAUGGCUAAUACCGAAUAUGACUUCGGAUCGCAUGAUCUGAAGUGGAAAGCUCCGGCGGUGAAGGAUGAGCUCGCGGCCUAUCAGCUUGUUGGUGAGGUAAUAGCUCACCAAGGCGAUGGACGGGUAGCCGGCCUGAGGAGGGUGACCCGGCCACACGUGGGACUGACGACACCGGCACGA